GACGAACGCUGGCGGCGUGCUUAACACAUGCAAGUCGAACGGAAAGGCCCUGCUCUUGUGGGGUGCUCGAGUGGCGAACGGGUGAGUAACACGUGAGUAACCUGUCCUUGACUUUGGGAUAACUUCAGGAAACUGGGGCUAAUACCGGAUAGGAGCUCCUGCUGCAUGGUGGGGGUUGGAAAGUUUCGGCGGUUGGGGAUGGACUCGCGGCUUAUCAGCUUGUUGGUGGGGUAGUGGCUUACCAAGGGUUUGACGGGUAGCCGGCCUGAGAGGGUGACCGGCCACAUUGGGACUGAGAUACGGCCCAGACUCCUACGGGAGGCAGCAGGGGGGAAUAUUGCACAAUGGGCGGAAGCCUGAUGCAGCAACGCCGCGUGCGGGAUGACGGCCUUCGGGUUGUAAACCGCUUUCGCCUGUGACGAAGCGUGAGUGACGGUAAUGGGUAAAGAAGCACCGGCUAACUACGUG
RNAcentral lists this ribosomal RNA (468 nucleotides) under uncultured bacterium. RNAcentral's name for it is "partial 16S ribosomal RNA". It matches the Rfam family "Bacterial small subunit ribosomal RNA", at positions 28 to 507 of the family's 1533-position model. The record is from RNAcentral.